RNAcentral lists this ribosomal RNA (174 nucleotides) under uncultured bacterium. RNAcentral's name for it is "partial 16S ribosomal RNA". It matches the Rfam family "Bacterial small subunit ribosomal RNA", at positions 335 to 525 of the family's 1533-position model. The record is from RNAcentral.
ACUCCUACGGGAGGCAGCAGCAAGGAAUUUUGUGCAAUGGGCGAAAGCCUGACACAGCAACGCCGCGUGAGGGAUGACGGCCUUCGGGUUGUAAACCUCUUUUAUCAGGGAAGAAUAAUGACGGUACCUGAUGAAUAAGCUUCGGCUAACUACGUGCCAGCAGCCGCGGUAAUA